Molecule: long non-coding RNA, 1203 nt
Organism: Ictalurus punctatus (channel catfish)
Lineage: Eukaryota; Metazoa; Chordata; Actinopteri; Siluriformes; Ictaluridae
Source: Ensembl
GGAAGCCGCCCGGCUGCGUACAAAACCAUGGCUGGCAGGCUGCGCCCUCCAUCAGCAGCAACCGCCGGAGGCGCCCUCCGUGACGGUGUGGGUCGAAGGGAGACCGGUAACCGCCCUACUGGACACCGGGAGCACGGUGACCCUUGCCCAACCCUCCAUCCUGCCUGAGGGGCGCCGCCCAAGCGGGACGCUUACCGUGACAUGCGUCCAUGGGGACACCCGGGAGGUCCCCUCAGCUGAGGUCCAGAUCCGGAGCGAAGCCGGCACCUGGCCCCUCCAGGUCGGAAUCAUCCCCGAACUCCCCGUGCCCCUCCUCCUGGGACGAGACUGGCCAGGAUUCCGGGUGGUACAGAGAGCCGAGCCCCGGAGACCGCGGCGGCGGGGGAAGGGGAUCCCAACCUGGCCAGCCUACCUGGCCCAGGACGACGGAGAGGCCCCCUCAGAAGGUAAGACCCCCCAAACUACUAACCCUCUGUCGGCUGUCUUUCCCCAGGUAAACCGGGAGGGGAAGUUCGGCCGGGAGCAGAAGGAGGACGACUGGCUGAAGCACUGCUGGGCCCAGGUACGGGUGAUAGAGGGGGUCGACCAGAGCCCAGACCUGAGGCUCCCCACAUCGUACUUCCUCGUCCGAGGGGGGCUCCUGUACCAACGGGCCUGCCGCCGCGGGGAGCCGGUGGAGCUAUUGGUGGUGCCCCGAGCCAAGACAGCCGUCUUAUUACACCUAGCCCACACCCAUCCCCUCGGCGGCCACCUGGGGGCCCGAAAUACCCUGGAGAAACUGCGGGACCGCUUCGUGUGGUCCUGGUCCUGGUCGACUACGCCACUCGGUACCCUGAGGCGGUGCCGCUCCGCAAGGCCACCUCGCAAAACAUCGCCAGGGAGCUGGUACUCCUCUUCAGUCGAGUGGGGAUCCCCAAGGACGUGUUGACCGACCAAGGAGGCACAAGCGCGGACGAGACCGCCGGAUAGUGAGAGUCGCACACACGGAGGACGCCGGCCCGGGAAAACCCCCGCCCCGCCUCGGGAAUCCCGCCUCCGCCACGAGUAGACUCCGCCGGCCGUCACGCCUUCACAAAACCCCGCACUCAUCCACUUAUAACCCAUUCACCUCACCCUAGCCACAAUAAACCACCGCUUGCAACCAUCCUUCUGUCUCCUGUGGGUCUGUACGCUGCCCUUCCCCGGGCUAAUUCCUCACAAAGG